This 2415-nucleotide long non-coding RNA is filed under the name Salmo salar (Atlantic salmon). RNAcentral describes it as "lncRNA (ENSSSAG00000122255.1)". The record is from RNAcentral. Lineage: Eukaryota; Metazoa; Chordata; Actinopteri; Salmoniformes; Salmonidae.
GUGUGUGUGUGUGUGUGUGUGUGUGUGUGUGUGUGUGUGUGUGUGUGUGUGUGUGUGUGUGUGUGUCUGUCUGUCGGGAAGGCAGCACUGCUCUGUGCUGUCCUCCUUAUCUGAGAAGCCUCUCUCCCUCCUCUCCUCUCAUUCGUCUGUGCUGGUAACUACCGUUUUCUGUGCCAAGAAAGACUCUUGUGUUACAGCAAGGUCUCUGUUUUCAGUCUCCCUUUCCCUUACAUACUUACUCCCCUUAACGAGAGAGAGACAUGCUGUGUACUGUAUAUAGUAGUGCUGUAUAGCUUGUUUUGGUUAGAUUUCUUUUUGACUGUAGAGGAUGAUUUUUUUUUAAGACACCAGCCUAAUAUAUUAUUAUAUAAACCACUGGACAUCUGACUAGUGUAAUAAUAUAUAUAUAUUUUUUUUGAUUUGUGACUGGAUUGAUUUUAUUGUUAUUAUUUCAUUUUUUAUUUUGCUCUUGCUGGUGUCUUUCUUUGUUCUUUUUAACUAGUAUUUUAAAACAUAUUUCAAGAUGCUAGCCAUGUUUUUAAUUUCAUUUGAUUAGAUUAUUAACGUUGAAAAACACAACGGUCUGUCUGUGAGGGAUCUAGCUAACUUUGGGUGUGGUUUUUCCUACUUGUGACAACCUUGGAAAUCUCCUAUACAGUAUCCUCUGUCAAAACAUGUUUCACUGUCUGCUGUAAGUUUUAUUAUAUGGGGAAACGUAAUACAUUUUUCAGAGAUAUGACAUUCGUUGCAUAAUGCUAAUCAAAAAUACUUGUUGUUUUGCACUUCAUAGAUAAUGACUACUGUGUCUGUGAUAUAAUAGAGUGAUGCAGAGAGUAGAGCAGCGAUGGUAGAAUGACCUCUGAUCUAUGACCUAUGACCCCUGCCAAUGGCCAGAGAUGGUAUGACCCCAAGGGUCUUUUGGUGUAAUCCUGGGUCAUUGGGUUACAGGAUGUCUCUUCACUGGGGGUGGGUAGCAGUGGAUGCUGGUGGGAGGAGCUAUAGGAGGACAGGCUCAUUGUAAUGUCUGGAAUGGAAUUCAUGGAACGGAGUCAAACGUGGUUUCCAUAUGUUUGACGUGUUUGAUACCAUUCCAUGUAUUGCAUUCCAGCCAUUACAAUGAGCCUGUCCUCCUAUAGCUCCUCCCACCAGCCUCCACUGGUGGGUAAGUAGGCAGGCACUACAUGUAGGCCUAACCAUAGAAAUAUAAUUACUAGAUUGGUUAUUCUGUAUAUGGCCCUAACCCAUAGUGCUGCAUGCCAAGGCAGGCUUUGUUCGGGCCUCUCCGGGCCAGACCCAGACCCGUUCUGACUGCACUGUGCCAGGCUCCAGUGGGACAGGCUACAGGCCUCAGAGUGCUGGCAUAGGAUCAGUUCUGCCUUUUAGAUAAUACUGAAUAAGAUUAUAUGAACAGGAGAGACCCGAUCCUAGAUCAGCACUCCUACCCUAAGACGCUUUGUGAAUACGGGUCCUGUCCUCAGGGCUGUGGGUGGACAACAAGCAAGGAACAACUGUGGAGAUUCACCCUCCCAGAACCGAAGAGGGGCGGGUUUCAAUUCUUCAAUCUUGUGAUGUUUUCACUCAAUGUGGAGUACAAAAAAAAAGUAAAAAGCUGUUACUUAGUAGAUUUUUGCACUCGUCGAUGACUACCUAUCUGUGCAUGCUCGUCACCAUUUAUAUACAUGUCCAUUUAUAUACAUGUAAGUACCUUUCUCUCAGACGUAGUGUUAAAUACUAAUUAUAUUUAUGUGAAGGUCAUGUGACAAAAAUCAUAUUUUUUAGCGUAUAUCAGAUGACAGUUUUAUGUCUGUGCUUUCUUGAACACGAGAGAGAGAUAAAGACGGUUGUAAAAGAGAGACGGUAGAGAACUGUAGGGGAUGUCAGGGGAUAGGGUCCAACACAGGCCAAAGGGCCCACAAAUAACCUGUUGGAGUUGCUUGUGACAUCAUCAGAUUACCCAAAUACUGCACCCCCUGCCAGUUUGUAAGGAAAUCUAUAUGAAAUGCCUAAAGAUCUAGAUCUUCACGUCUGUGUUUAUAAAGAUGCUAUGAACAAAUUAGGGUGAGAUUUUACACAUACUACUGUUCCGUCAAGUUCGUUUUCCCCCCCUGGGCAGCCCCAUUUGUAAACACCCCUCCUGUCUGGGUUUGACAUGUCCUUGACUUGUCCACUCCUGAAUUGGCUUGCCUUCACACUGUUCCAUUCAGGGCAUCCGACGGAGGUGGUAUUGGUUUCCACAGCUGUGACUGUGCAGUGACGCAGCAUGCCUAUGUAUAGAACUAUGUUUCCCCUGAUUAGAAGAACAAACAGUUAACUCUCAGUUUCUGUAACCGAUUCAGGCAAACGUUCAAUAAAGUGUCAUGUUUGUAGUUAACGCCUUUCGAUGGAUCAUGUUUUUAUUUCUAAACAAGAACAGGC